AGACUCUGGUGUUGCACCUGCUUUGAGCAUGUGCAGUACCGUAGGAAAACUGUUAAGUCUGCCGCCUGGGGAGUACGGUCGCAAGAUUGAAACUUAAAGCAAUUGGCGGGGGAGCACAACAAGGGGUGGAUGCUACGGUUUAAUUGAAUUCAACGUCGGGAACAUUACCUGGAGCGACGGCAGGAUGAAGGUCAGGCUAAAGACCUUACCAGACAAGCCGAGAGGUGGUGCAUGGCGAUCGUCAGUUCGUGGUGUGAACUGUCAGGUUAAGUCCUGUAACGAACGAGACCCUCGUUGACAGUUGCCAAAAGCCCAGCGAUGGGCUGAGCACUCUGUCGAGACCGCCUUUGUUUAAAUAGGAGGAAGGAGAGGGCAACGGUACGUCAGUAUGCCCCGAAUCUCCAGGGCUACACGCGGCAUACAGAGGUUGGUACAAUGGGUCGCAACCUCGAAAGAGGAAGCUAAUCCCCUAAAACCAACCAAAGUUCGGAUUGAGGGCUGAAACUCGCCCUCAUGAAGCUGGAAUCCCUAGUAAUCGCUUGUCACAAUCGAGCGGUGAAUAUGUCCCCGCUCCUUGCACACACCGCCCG
RNAcentral lists this ribosomal RNA (590 nucleotides) under uncultured archaeon. Its description in RNAcentral is "bacterial SSU rRNA". It matches the Rfam family "Archaeal small subunit ribosomal RNA", at positions 764 to 1352 of the family's 1478-position model. The record is from RNAcentral.